CUACCUCAGCCUGACCCAUCCGUCUGACAUGGUCUAGAGCUGCCACUGGAUCAUGGUGUUGGUUUUAGUUUUGGACUGUAUAUUUCCCAAUCACUCUUUCUUUGUGUGACUAAAUUAAUCCCAUGCUUUAGACAUGGGCCUGUCAAAUAAGUUUUAUCACUUUUAUUUUAUAUUAAAGUUGUACGGCCUCAUUUUCUUAUUCUUAAAAAAACGGUGUAUUUAUUUGUUAUAGUGUCUUUUACACGUUUUUAUUGUAAUUAUAUCCUGUAUGUAUGUUUUCUGUUGCGCAACUUGCUUUGUUUUCAGGUAUGUUAUUGUGCAAUCUAAAACGUUUAGACGAGUCCCUGCCUAAAGCUUUUAUUGUGAAGGAUAAAGCGGAAGUGGUGAAUUUUGA
Long non-coding RNA from Etheostoma cragini (Arkansas darter), 394 nucleotides. RefSeq lists it as uncharacterized. The transcript is spliced from 2 exons. Lineage: Eukaryota; Metazoa; Chordata; Actinopteri; Perciformes; Percidae. The record is from RefSeq and is a predicted model, not a curated record.